GUUAGAGUGGCAGAGCCCGGUAAUUGCAUAAAACUUAAGCUUUUAUUAUCAGAGGUUCAACUCCUCUCUCUAACA
RNAcentral lists this transfer RNA (75 nucleotides) under Lyroderma lyra (Indian false vampire). RNAcentral describes it as "tRNA-Leu". It matches the Rfam family "tRNA". Rfam says of the family: Transfer RNA (tRNA) molecules are approximately 80 nucleotides in length. Their secondary structure includes four short double-helical elements and three loops (D, anti-codon, and T loops). Further hydrogen bonds mediate the characteristic L-shaped molecular structure. tRNAs have two regions of fundamental functional importance: the anti-codon, which is responsible for specific mRNA codon recognition, and the 3' end, to which the tRNAs corresponding amino acid is attached (by aminoacyl-tRNA synthetases). tRNAs cope with the degeneracy of the genetic code in two manners: having more than one tRNA (with a specific anti-codon) for a particular amino acid; and 'wobble' base-pairing, i.e. permitting non-standard base-pairing at the 3rd anti-codon position. The record is from RNAcentral. Lineage: Eukaryota; Metazoa; Chordata; Mammalia; Chiroptera; Megadermatidae.